UAUCCCUACGGGGCGCAGCAGUAGGGAAUCUUCGGCAAUGGGCGAAAGCCUGACCGAGCAACGCCGCGUGAAUGAAGAAGGCCUUCGGGUUGUAAAAUUCUGUUAUAAGGGAAGAAAGGUGAUAGGAGGAAAUGACUAUCAAUUGACGGUACCUUAUGAGAAAGCCACGGCUAACUACGUGCCAGCAGCCGCGGUAAUACGUAGGUGGCAAGCGUUAUCCGGAAUUAUUGGGCGUAAAGAGCGCGUAGGCGGGAUAGCAAGUCAGAUGUGAAAUCCUAUGGCUUAACCAUAGAACUGCAUUUGAA
This 305-nucleotide ribosomal RNA is filed under the name uncultured bacterium. RNAcentral describes it as "bacterial SSU rRNA". It matches the Rfam family "Bacterial small subunit ribosomal RNA", at positions 334 to 631 of the family's 1533-position model. The record is from RNAcentral.